This is a long non-coding RNA of Felis catus (domestic cat), 1987 nucleotides long. RefSeq lists it as uncharacterized. The transcript is spliced from 2 exons. The record is from RefSeq and is a predicted model, not a curated record. NCBI's taxonomy places the organism in Eukaryota, Metazoa, Chordata, Mammalia, Carnivora, Felidae.
UGUCAGCACAGAACUAGAUGUGAGGCUUGAACUCACCGAUCACGAGAUCAUGAGCUGAGCCAAAGCCAAGAGUCAGAUGCUUAACUGACUGAGCCACCCAGGCGUCCCUGGAGUUGUCCUUUAGAAAUCCUUCCUGCACAUUCUGAGGGCAGUGCCACGACAAACAAGAAUGUUUGCAGAGGAAACAUUUUGCCCAGGAAAUCCCGCUCUGACCGUUACAGAAAGACAUCAGGAAGUCUCCAGAGCCCAACGGUUCAGAAAAUGCCAAACAAGGAAACGUGACAGUCUGAAGGGUCCGCGGUGCCCCGGGGAUGGGGCACAGGGAACAGUGUGAGAGAGGGGGCGCCAGGAGCUGACCUUUCACUGCACUGGCAUCAUGUGCAGGAGCCCUGGAUGGGCGGCCAAAGUCAGCUGACCUCACAGCCAGCGCCUGGGGACAUUAGAAGGAGGCUUACAAAUGACUCAGUUGAAAGUCUGCUUGUGAGGAAGCAGGAAGAAAAGUCAUUGUUCCAGGAUCCCAAAGGAAACCAGUGUGACAGCAAGAAGUUGUGGGGUUGUGACAGCAGAAGGGGAUGUGCCUGAGAUCCGAACCCCAGCGCGGAGGCGGUGACUCUUCUACAUAAAGGUUGUGGGUUAAAAGGUGGGCAGUGGGAGGGCUCUGCCUGGUGCAGGAAUAAGACGAAGGGGUCAUUGUCUGCAGAGAAUUUAAAGCCGUUAGCAAAGCCAUCUGAAAGUUGGUCUGUUUUUCACUAUAACCUUGCACUGGCAAAUCUUAAGUAACGUUACCGAUCCAACAUUCUGCCCUGAAUAAUCUUUCGUUGGUCCAGGUUCUAGACAACCGUGCUUACUGUUGAGUUUAGCACUAUGUCCUUAAGCCUAAAUUAGCACAUUCUUAUUCUUUAUCCUUUUAAAAAACGCUGUAUUCCACUUGGAAGUUCACUUGCCACGCCUUUGUUGCCAAAUAGCUUUUGAGAAGGAAACAAUGGGAGCCUUGAAGACCCAGACAAGAAGUUGAUACAAAAAUAUUUGCAAACUGGCAGAAUCCACCUUGAACAAGGCACACAACACUUUAAAAUGAUUCCUUGAGGUCAGUGCAAACAAACUGUGGCGAGGACAAUUACUUCUGCAAAGCAACAACAACAACAAAGUGAGGAAAUAGAUAAAAGAAUCAAAUUUAGGGAAGAAACGUUAGGAGAAAUGACCAAAGGUGCCAGUCUUAGAUUGCCUGAUGAAAUUCAAAGGGCAGUGUUUGAAGCCCGAAUCACUUUCUCUAGGAACUGGACAAGAACACAACGGCUCAGGCAAGUCCCUAUUUGCCGUCUUUUGGAUGCUUUCUCUGGGUUUUGCACGUGUAAAACUUGAGACCCAAAUACAAUAGAAAUUUGUGAUACAUUUGCCGGCGUUUGGUGAAAGUUUGUCCACGGUGAAGACACUUGAGAGCUGCUAGAACUGGUCCUGAAGAAACGAAGAAACAAAGAUGUGAACUGUAUUGCCCUUUCUGGAAUUUGCUGUGACAUGGGAUGGGUAUCUGCCAAAUUUAUCUUUAUGUUUAAGGCUUUCCUUCUCGACUUAGAUGCCUCUUGUUAUAGGGAAAACUUCAGCGUAUGUCAGCUACACUUCAAUUUUUAAAAGGAGAGAAAACUUUAGCAAUUAAAAGGAGCGAAACAUAUUCCCCGAUGAACUAUGUGACACAUUGGCAAAUCUGGCUAUGUGCCUAUUGAAGGGGACAAUUCAGGAUCGAUUUUGAUGAAAUCAUUGUCAAAUGCGUAGACACGUCUCAAAGACAAAAACUGUAAUGUUCUAUUUGUUACCGACAUGUAGGCAAGAGAUCUCCCUUUCCUUAAAAAAAAAAAAAAAGACGUCUUUACUCCCCUCCCCUUUUUUGGUAAUGUCCUAUUAUUUAUUUACUGAUUAUUCAUUAAUUUAUUUAACUUCCAUGAUUAUGUAUGUGAAGUGCGAUAAAAGAAAAAUUUCGUUCCCUGCCGAA